This is a non-coding RNA of Caenorhabditis elegans, 224 nucleotides long. The record is from Ensembl. NCBI's taxonomy places the organism in Eukaryota, Metazoa, Nematoda, Chromadorea, Rhabditida, Rhabditidae.
AUGGUGCUAGUGAUUAAAUGUCAAAACAUAACGUUUAAAAAAAAUUUAAGUUUUUUUUUUAAAUUUCAAGUCAAAGAGGGGUGAAAAUUCUUUUUGUGCUUAAAUUAUCAGUUCAAAUUGAAAUAAAGAAUGUAUAAGUACAUGUAGUUAUAGUUCUUGAUUAUUGUAAAUAAUCGGUGUUGUAGUAGGUAAAAGUAGGCUUAUGUGUAACAUGAUGUGUUGUU